GAUGAACGCUGGCGGCGUGCUUAACACAUGCAAGUCGAACGGUGAAGCAGAGCUUGCUCUGUGGAUCAGUGGCGAACGGGUGAGUAACACGUGAGCAAUCUGCCCCUGACUCUGGGAUAAGCGCUGGAAACGGCGUCUAAUACUGGAUACGAGCCGUGAAGGCAUCUUCAACGGUUGGAAAGAUUUUUCGGUCAGGGAUGAGCUCGCGGCCUAUCAGCUUGUUGGUGAGGUAAUGGCUCACCAAGGCGUCGACGGGUAGCCGGCCUGAGAGGGUGACCGGCCACACUGGGACUGAGACACGGCCCAGACUCCUACGGGAGGCAGCAGUGGGGAAUAUUGCACUAUGGGCGCAAGCCUGAUGCAGCAACGCCGCGUGAGGGAUGACGGCCUUCGGGUUGUAAACCUCUUUUAGCAGGGAAGAAGCGAAAGUGACGGUACCUGCAAAAAAAGCGCCGGCUAACUACGUGCCAGCCGCCGCAGUAA
RNAcentral lists this ribosomal RNA (483 nucleotides) under uncultured bacterium. Its description in RNAcentral is "partial 16S ribosomal RNA". It matches the Rfam family "Bacterial small subunit ribosomal RNA", at positions 28 to 523 of the family's 1533-position model. The record is from RNAcentral.